CUGAGUUGUAACUGAAGACUUGUCCGUAUAAAAGUUUACAGAUUUGUCUACGUAUUUACAGAUUUGUAUACACGUUCACAGAUAUAUCUGCAGUAUAUGGCUCAACUGUAAAAUAGACCUACCCGUGAAAUAUAAGGCCUUGGAUGAAGCAAAACCUCCUUCAACUGAACGGCAGCAAGACAGAGGCCCCACUUGACGGCAUCCCCCACCAGUCUGGUGCAGAGAAGCACCCGAAACUCCAAUACAUCUAAAACAGCACUGCAAGGAUACGAAGGAGAGUAUGGACACAUAAGUACAUUAUCGCCAGUGACUCUUUAUAUCUCAAGGAACGGAUAUCCCUCCAUAACCCCACCCACAGCUUCGGGUCGAGUGACAGCCUGCUGCUCCACAUCCCCAGGACCAGGCUCUGCUCCUUGGGGGAUCAGGGUUUUUGCUCAACCGCUCCUAGCCUCUGGAAUGCCCUCCCAAACUCCCUGAAGUCACCACAGACUCUGGGCUCAUUUAAAGACAUUUUUAUAUAGGAAGGCUUUUUGAUGAUAACCUUGCUAUUUUUGUCCUUACAUGUUACUUUUCUGUUUGUAUUUUCUAUUUAUUUAUUGAAUGC
Molecule: long non-coding RNA, 604 nt
Organism: Esox lucius (northern pike)
Lineage: Eukaryota; Metazoa; Chordata; Actinopteri; Esociformes; Esocidae
Source: Ensembl